GAAGACAAAUGUAUGAUAGUCCAGUGAAAGUAAGCAAAUAAAUACAAAGAGAAUAAAUACUUGGGUCCAUUAUAAUCAAAUUGCUGAAGAAUCAAAGGAAAAAAACAUUGAAAACUGCAUACAUACAUUUUAACAAAUGGACGAAUCAUAUACAAGUGAAUAACCUUUCAAAACACUGACUUUUCAUUAGAAAUAACAGAAGCUAGAAGACCAGCAAGAUUAAAAUGCUCAAAGAAGAAUAAAGCCAAUGCAGAAUUAUAUAUUAGUGAAAACAUCUUCCUGCAAUGAAAAUGAGGGAGUUCUUUUGUGACUGCAGUGGUGUGGGUUCAGUCCCAGGCCUAGGAACUUGCACAUGCUGUGAGCAUGGCAAAAAAGAAAAUUAAAAAAAAGUGAAAUAAGGACAUUUUCAGAUAAAAGGAAAAUUAUAUGUAAAUGAUUAAAAGUAAAUAUUUCCCAUUGAGAACUAUGUCUAGAUACUCAUGUCGCAACAGAAGAAAGGGUGGGGGAAAAAACUGUAACUGCAAUGUAUACAUCUAAGGAUAACCUGACCCCCUUGCUGUACAGUGGGAAAAAAAAAAAAAAGUAAAUAUUUCCUUUUUAAUCUCUUUAAAAGUAUAUGCUUAAAACAAAAGUUAUAACAUUGUAUUUUGUGGUUAAUAGCAUGUAUAUGUGGCACAGCAUAAAGUAUGACAACUGAAACAUUCGAGUGUUCAGCAGAAGAUUGGCAGGCAGAAGAAAGGAACGAUGACCUUUUGAAGAUAAGGCAAUUAAAUGAUCCAGUCUGGGAGUUCCCUUGUGGCCCAGUGGGUUAAGGCUCUGGCUUAGUCACUGCUGUGGCUUUUGUUAUAGCUGCGGUGCAAGUUCAGUUCCUGGCCUGGGAACCUUCGCAUGCCUCGGGUGUGCCCCACCUCCAAAAAAAUUAUCUAGCCUUAGGAGCAGAACAAAAAAAGAAUGAAGAAAAAUGACUAGAAAGAGUUCCCAUCAUGGCUCAGCAGUUAAUGAACCCGACUAGCAUCCACGAGGAUGCUAGUUCGAUCCCUAGUCUCGCUCAGUGGGUUAAGGAUCUGGCGUUGCCUAGAUCUGUGGUAUAGGUUGCAGCUGUGGCUUGGAUCCUGUGUUGCUGUGGUGUAGGCUGGUGGCUAUAGCUCUUAUUGGAUCCCUAGCUUGGGAAUUUCCAUGUGCCUUGGGUGCAGCCCUAACAAGACAAAAAGAAAAAAAGAAAAUAAAAAUGGCUAGAGCUCAGGGACCUAUGGGAUACCAUCAGACAUAGCAACACAUGUGCUACUGGAAUCCCAGAU
Molecule: long non-coding RNA, 1298 nt
Filed under: Sus scrofa (pig)
Lineage: Eukaryota; Metazoa; Chordata; Mammalia; Artiodactyla; Suidae
Description: lncRNA (ENSSSCG00000050813.2, ENSSSCG00005015521.1)
Source: RNAcentral